Molecule: non-coding RNA, 72 nt
Organism: Danionella cerebrum
Lineage: Eukaryota; Metazoa; Chordata; Actinopteri; Cypriniformes; Danionidae
Source: the annotation of a GenBank genome assembly
GCAGUUGUGGCCCAGUGUAUAAGGAGUUUGACUGGUGAUCAGAAAGUCGCUGGUUCGAUCCCCUCAACCUCA